Long non-coding RNA from Lutra lutra (Eurasian river otter), 232 nucleotides. RefSeq lists it as uncharacterized. The record is from RefSeq and is a predicted model, not a curated record. Lineage: Eukaryota; Metazoa; Chordata; Mammalia; Carnivora; Mustelidae. The transcript is spliced from 3 exons.
GCAGAAGGCAGAUGGUGGCUCUUCUCAACUUCCAUAAUUGGAAACCUGGUUCCAAUGGCUCUAAAAUGCCAGGUGACUCCACUGUCAAGGCUUCUGCAAAUGCUUGCGUGAGGUCGUGUGCAUAUUGCCUGUUUCUGUGAGAAGGUCCUGCCCCGUCGUCCUGGCCACAACUGCCUGAGACCCCUGAUCACGCUGAGUGAGCUUCAGUCUCAGGAGCUGAGCUAAAAGAUAC